This is a long non-coding RNA of Papaver somniferum (opium poppy), 1891 nucleotides long. RefSeq lists it as uncharacterized. NCBI's taxonomy places the organism in Eukaryota, Viridiplantae, Streptophyta, Magnoliopsida, Ranunculales, Papaveraceae. The record is from RefSeq and is a predicted model, not a curated record. The transcript is spliced from 9 exons.
UUUUUUUUUUUCCUUUUCGGCUCCUGGCUCUCUUCUCUUCCUAUCAACUCCUGCCUCUCUUCUCUUCCUAUCAAGCGAUGAGUCGAUGAAAUCAUCACAGAAAUCUCUUCAAUCGUCAAUCUGUGGUUUGAAGAACUGAAGAACUGAUUGUAACAUAUGAACUGAAGAACUGAUUUGUUAAUCCAACUUAAAAGUCUUUUGGUUAUACUGCAGGCUUGAGAUAAUGGUGCUUAUUGCUAAUCAGUGGGUGCAAGAAGCCUUCAAUCUAGUGUUCAAAUUGGUUAUAUAGUUGGCUUUGGUUUUGUGGUUUUUAGAUGUUCUUUAUAUGAUCUUGCCAUGCCCAUUGGCAAGGCUUUUUCCGUGUUCCUUUUAGCUGUUUUUAGCUGGAUUUAGACCUCUUCAAAAUGUCAUCAAAAUAUAAUUCAUAGAUAAGGAUUUAGGAUGUACCUUGGGGGCUUUGUGCAGAAGAACUCGUUGCUCAAGUAAGUGUUGAUGGAGCUACACAUUGGUUAACGUCAACCGACUCUAUGCUUUUUAAUUUCAAGGAUGAAAUAUUGGAUGAGAUGCCCCUACCUAGCAAAUUUAUGUUCAUUCAGAGGGUCCCUUUGCUUAAAUGGUUCUGUUGGUUCCCUAGACAGGUUGCUCAACUUUAGUUUGUCAUGAAAACAUCCAUAAAUCUCAAGUCUUAUGCUAAGCAGAAUUCAUACUAUGCUACUACCUUUGUCUGUGUGCAGAUCCUUGUAAUGCUUAACUCGGGUACUUAUGGUGCGCUACAAGAAAUAGAAGACUCCAAGAUUAGCAGUUUCAGGCUUGUUGUUGCUGAAGAGUUCAGUUCUGUUUAGAUAUUCAAGACGUUUUACUUAACUCUGCUAGCUCAAGAACAGUAGAUCUGGAUAGCAUUAAUUCAGGUGCUCAUGUUUGCGGAGUAGAAAGGGGAGACUUUGAAGAUGAUGAUGACUCAGAAUACGAAGAAGAGGAGGUAGGUCCUGAAAUAGAGGCAAAUGAAGAACCUAUUUGCAUUUCUUUUCUCCGAGGAAGGUCCAAAUAAUCAGACAUCGUCGGCUAAGUGCAUCAGUGACUUCGUGUGUGUCACUUUGUGUUAAUUCAUUGUGAAAACAUGGUUGUUUUUCUUGGUCCAGCUAUUAACUCUUUGCAGUUCCUCUAUUUUCUUACCGCAAGUAUCUUUGUCCCCUGGGAGGCUGCAAGGAGAUCAAUGGUUAUCCUGGUGACUGUUCAUUCGGAGCAGCUCCUGUGAAUGUCAUCAUGACGAGUUUUGCAGCCAGUGCUCAAUGCAAUGUGGGUGGAUUACACUAGGAAAAAUGAUGUUGUUCACCUUCUUUGGCUCUAUGGAGGCCAACAAAGACAAAUUUCUUACAAGUUAUUUUGUAUGUGAAUUUUGUGGAGGAACUCUUUCAUAUACAAAAACAGCAGCGAGGAGGAUAGUCGAAGGUGAAGCAGCAGACAGCUGUAUCAUUAUUUCCAUUAAGAGAAAGUUUGUUGAUGCAAAAACAAAGACACGUCAGGUUAUUUGAAUGAUGCUCUAUUUGAUCAGAAAGGGUGGAGAAUAAAGAAGCUUCAAGUUUUAUAAGUUCCAUGUAUUCAAGUUUUGUAAGUUUUGUAGGCAGUUAGUAAGUUUCUACGUGUUCCCUUAGAAAUUUGGAACCUUCCAUGUAUGCUUCAAGUUUUGUAAGUUCCAUGUAUUCAAGUUUUGUAAGUUUUGUAGGCAGUUAGUAAGUUUCUACGUGUUCCCUUAGAAAUUUGGAACCUUCCAUGUGUUCCCUUAGAAAUUUGGAACUUAACAAAAAAAAAGAGUUGGGUACUUGGAGAAAUUUCAGAUCUUUUGUAAUAGAUAUUUGUUUAGUUCUUUUGUAAUAUAAAUCUGAUAUGAAUU